Molecule: unclassified non-coding RNA, 282 nt
Filed under: Streptomyces turgidiscabies
Lineage: Bacteria; Bacillati; Actinomycetota; Actinomycetes; Kitasatosporales; Streptomycetaceae
Also listed under: 1 other name
Description: partial 16S-23S ribosomal RNA intergenic spacer
Source: RNAcentral
AAGGAGCAUCUAGGCCGCCAGGCAUUGUCUGGUGGUCCAGGGCCAUUACGUCGGCAUACGUUCGACGGUGGUUGCUCAUGGGUGGAACGUUGAUUAUUCGGCACCUCAGUCAUCUCGGGCUGUGAGUACUGUCCCUUCGGGGGCGUGGAAAGCUGAUCAUGAGUGGCGAGGGUGUCGGGCACGCUGUUGGGUGUCUGAGGGUAUGGCCGUGAGGUUGUGUCUUCAGUGCCGGCCCCAGUGAACUCGCCCUGUAGGGGUGGGGUGGUGGGUGGUUGGUCGUUG